GCUUAAGCGUUGUUCGGAUUUAUCGGGCGUAAAGCGCGUGUAGGCGGUCUUUUAAGUCUGAUGUGAAAGCCCCGGGCUCAACCCGGGAAGUGCAUUGGAAACUGGGAGACUUGAGUACGGGAGAGGGUAGUGGAAUUCCUAGUGUAGGAGUGAAAUCCGUAGAUAUUAGGAGGAACACCGGUGGCGAAGGCGGCUACCUGGACCGAUAUUGACGCUGAGACGCGAAAGCGUGGGGAGCAAACAGGAUUAGAUACCCUGGUAGUCCACGCCGUAAACGAUGAGUACUAGGUG
Molecule: ribosomal RNA, 291 nt
Filed under: uncultured bacterium
Lineage: Bacteria
Description: partial 16S ribosomal RNA
Rfam family: Bacterial small subunit ribosomal RNA
Source: RNAcentral